AUUGAAUUCCAAGUCAAAAUUCUAAGCCGAUUUUGUAUACAAUAAGUCGGUCUUAAAAUGUCGGGCUUAAUUAAUCAAAUAAAACUAGAUAUCUUAUCAAUAGAUGGCCACACUGUUUAGUGGAUCGUCUGCAGUAGAAAUUCAUGGUUCAUCAGAUGUGUCCUAGUUGUUAGGGAUUCGUUAAUAGUUAAAAAAAAAAAAUGGAAAUUGGUAAAAUGAAAUAACAUAUGACCUAUACCUUUAGAUCACUUGUUUUCACAAAUGGAGAUUUAUUCCACAAGCUUCCUAGGCAGACACCCACCCACACAACCAUGGGUGAUAAAUGAUAUAAAAGUUUAUUAAUUUAAAAAAUUUAGAUUUUAGGUUAUUGAUAACAGAGUCAGGAAACAAUGUGUGGAAUCUGAUAUUCUAGCCUUGGAAACCACAGAUGCCUUUCUGCUUUAACAAGGCUAUAAAGCAACUAUAAUUUCAGGAGGUCCUAACUCAGUGUACGUGGUUUACGCCCCACUAUACAAUCCAAUAAACUUCAGGCUGAGGUCUUCCAGUGCUGAGAAUUUAUUUGGCAAGCAAAUACUCAAUAAGGAGUUAGGUGGAACAGUGGAGAGAAAAAUAUUCGCGAUGGGCAAUUUGAGAUCCAAGUAGAAACGGAGUGGCUAUUGUUUAAAGGCUUAGAGACUCGGCAAAUGGUAUUACAUGGUUAAUGGUUAAAUGGUAUUGUGACAGCUUAGACAAGGUUGCAGAAGGGUUGCGUUACGUCGCAAAAUCUUCACAUCAUAUUAUUUCCGCUAUUGCUGAUAUUACUGAGUCCAGUUCCAUGAUUUGACUGAAAACGGACGAAAAAUGUUGCAUGCCUUCUUAUUCGAAAUCUGUGGAUUGCAAGGAGGUUUCACAUUGGAGAAACGCGAGCAGCAGUGUAACGAUUACAUCCGGCGCACGGUCGGACGUGAUAAGAUCGUGCUCAUGCUAGUAAGCGGUGGAGUCGAUUCCGCCGUUCGUGCUGCCCUUCUCCAUAAAGCACUUCUACAGGUGAUAACUCGUCGCGAGUGCAGGGCAUCUAUAUCCAUUCUUAUCUUUUUCUUUUUUUUUUAUUUUAUCUUUACGAAAAGAUACAAUAUGUUUGCUAAUUUACUUUAUUUACGUUAUUCAGCGACAGUUAACAAGCGUUUUAGUAAUUUACCUUGGGCUACUUGAAAUUAUUAUUACAAGUUUCAUUUAAGUUCAUGGUAAAAGUUGAAAUUCAAAGUGUAUGUCUAAUGGCACAACGGUAUAGCAUCGGAGCGGUACGUAGAAGAUUUAGGGUUCGAUUCCCUAAAGAGUUCAGUUACAUUCCAAUGUAAAAAUAAAUUCCAUUGGGAAAAUUCUGAUUUAUGAGUUACAAAAUCUCUAAGUAAAAUUAGAGUGCCUUAACCAAAGACUUGUAAAGCUCUAUUCUUCAACGUGGCUAUUGGUCGCAUAUACCGGAACAUUACAACUCAGAUGGAAAACGAACCCAUACUAUGAUGAUUAAUCCCAGUCAAUUUAAUGUUUGUUAAAAAUAAAAAAACGAUUAAUUAAUGUCACUACAUAUUAUCCAUCAUAGACACUGAAUUCCACUACAGCUGAAUGGGAUUCGAACCCAAGUUACAUCGUAUUCCAGUCCAUCGCUCUACCAUUGAGCUAUGAGAGAUACUACAUUGUAAUCUAAGUCUUCAACACAUUAAGGUAACUGUGCAAAAUUGUACAUAGGGGAUCAAAUAUCAAUGGGGGGAUAUAGGGGGGUUGCCAGAAAGGUAUCGCAUCCGACUAGCAACUCGAAGGUCCGUGGUUCGAUUCCACGUGGGUUCCUGAUGUCCUGGGCUUCCAACAUUCCCAGGGGUCUACAUUCCCAGGAGCCAGUCGGGUCGAGAAACUUCCCCAUUACGAAGUAAUGGGACGGAUAUUUUGGUAAUCUUUAAUACAAUUCUCAAUAAUAAAUUUUAAUAAAUUGUUUAUUUCGAUUUAUCGACGUGCCUGUGUUACUUAUACACUUUGCAACGGACUUUAACCAUUGUCAUCCCCAGCCGUAAGAUCUCAUACAUAUUUCAGAUUGUAAUAUAUAUUCAUUUAUCUGAAACUGUUGAUUAUUUUAAUAAUUUGGUUGACUCUUUCAGGAUUUGAACCCUUAAUCUGUGGCGUAUCGUGCCGAUGCUCUACCACUGAGCUAUAAGUCAUAUUAACAUACUGUCUACAUUUUCGUGUUAAUUGAGUUAACAAAUUUGGACUUAGAAUAAUUUUUGUAGCAUGAUUCAAGACAAUUUCCUUUUAAUAUGUCUAUAAUAAAUACAUCUAAUUGAAUUGCGAAACGAUUUACCAUAAAUUAAUGUGCUAAACUUCCGACGGGAUUUGAACCCGGAAACUUUAGAUCCAUACACCAACGUUCUACCACAGAGCUAUGAACCUUAUGUAACAUCAGUCAGGUUAGCACAUAAUUUUACGAGCCUAUAAAAAUUGCCUUUAUUAUCUUUUCGUGCCUUCUAAUAUUAGUGAAUAAUUAUUUAUAACUCAUGGCUCAACGGUUGAGCAUCGGCAAUGCACACCGAAAGUUUGGGGAUCGAUCCCCGAAAGAGUUAAAUUAAAUUCUGAGAAACUACUUCAAUACACCGUAAACAAAACUCUGGUAAAUAUGAGUUUCAACUAUGUUCAACAGAUAUCUACCAACUACAGAAUUGAGAUGUCAUCGGCAAUCAUUCAAAGGCAAUCCGGGAAUUCGCAGUACAAGAACUGCACAUCAGUGGCCAUC
Long non-coding RNA from Daphnia magna, 2758 nucleotides. RefSeq lists it as uncharacterized. The transcript is spliced from 5 exons. The record is from RefSeq and is a predicted model, not a curated record. Lineage: Eukaryota; Metazoa; Arthropoda; Branchiopoda; Diplostraca; Daphniidae.